RNAcentral lists this unclassified non-coding RNA (343 nucleotides) under soil metagenome. Its description in RNAcentral is "partial contains 5.8S ribosomal RNA, internal transcribed spacer 2, and large subunit ribosomal RNA". The stretch from base 1 to 120 matches the Rfam family "5.8S ribosomal RNA", at positions 35 to 154 of the family's 154-position model. The record is from RNAcentral.
GAUGAAGAACGCAGUGAAAUGCGAUAAGUAAUGUGAAUUGCAGAAUUCAGUGAAUCAUCGAAUCUUUGAACGCACAUUGCGCCCGCCAGCAUUCUGGCGGGCAUGCCUGUUCGAGCGUCAUUUCAACCCUCGACCUCCCCUUGGGGAGGUCGGCGUUGGGGACCGGCAGCACACCGCCGGCCCUGAAAUGGAGUGGCGGCCCGUCUGCGGCGACCUCUGCGUAGUAAUACAGCUCGCACCGGAACCCCGACGCGGCCACGCCGUAAAACACCCAACUUCUGAACGUUGACCUCGAAUCAGGUAGGACUACCCGCUGAACUUAAGCAUAUCAAUAAGCGGAGGA